GCCGCCGAUCCCGUCAUGGCGCGCAGCCGCCCCUUGGUCGCGCCGUCGCUGGCCGUGGUGCGCCACCGCCGGUGUAGAGCGCCGCCGCACACCGCCUGAUGGCCUCUGCGCCGCGACCUCCGGUGUGCGCCGUGCUCAGCGCUGUAGCGUCGCCUCCUCUCCUUGCUCUUCCCCUCCCCCGUGCGCCGGGCUUGGCCGGCCCGCCGGUCGUUCAUGGCUCGGAGGGUGCCCCUGGUCGGGGAGGAGCAGGCGCCGUGGAAGAUCACCGUGCAUCUUCGGCGUUGACAGGUUCUUUGCCUGGGCGGAGAAAAUGUUGAGGUCGGGCCUCUGUUCGGGAUGGCGACUGCAGAGUUCAUGGAUGAAGAAGUUGAUGGCGCCCGUUGUCAUCGCUGGCGAGUGGCCGUUAUUCAUUGCGGUCUUCUUCUUGGCCUAGCAUGUCACCGGCGAGCCCAUGCGUCCAGUGGGGAAACGGCGUUCGCGACCACCACGGGAGCGCCGACCAUGGCGGCCUCGUCGACGACGACCAGCACAGGCCGAAAUAGCGUGGCCUAUCGGCCUUUGUUCAUGCAGCAAUUCGGCGAGUUCUUCUCCACGGUGAUUGUGUUGUUCUUGUUUCUUGUUGUGCCCAGAAGAUUAGAGCGUGCGUUUAGGCGACUCCGCGAGUUUCUCUCAGUGGAGAGCAAAUGCAUGAUAACAUGUUAGAAGCGAAGGUGAUUGGAAUGGUUGGAUUAUAUACAUGACCAACGAGAGACCGAAAUGACAUGCCCAUUCGAUAUA
Molecule: long non-coding RNA, 777 nt
Organism: Panicum virgatum (switchgrass)
Lineage: Eukaryota; Viridiplantae; Streptophyta; Magnoliopsida; Poales; Poaceae
Exons: 2
Source: RefSeq, a predicted model, not a curated record